This 1176-nucleotide ribosomal RNA is filed under the name Triticum aestivum (bread wheat). RNAcentral describes it as "partial small subunit ribosomal RNA". The record is from RNAcentral. Lineage: Eukaryota; Viridiplantae; Streptophyta; Magnoliopsida; Poales; Poaceae.
AUGCAGCCCUGUUGUUUGUGCGAGAGAGAUAGAGGAGCAGACCCAAUCCCCACCUCUUGCUCUGAGUCGGAUCUAGGGCGCACACCCAGCCGGGAGCCGGCGACCAUGGCGGAGGCCGCAGGAGCAGCAGCAUCGCCUACUCCCCACCGCGGCCUCCCCGAGGAGAUCGUGGUCUGGGAGAUCCUCGUCCGCCUGCCCCCCAAAUCUCUCCUCUGCUGCCGCGCUGUCUGCAGUGCCUGGCGCCGCGCCACCUCCGCCCGUGCCUUCCUCCUCGCCCACCACGCCCGCCAGCCCGCCCUCCGCAUCCUCUCCGACGGCGGCAAAAGCAUCCUCGUCUUCAACAACCGGGCCGCUACCACCCAGCUCCAGCCUGUCGCCCGGCUUCGCGAGGUCUUCUAUCCGGAAGCCUCCUGCGACGGCCUCCUCAUCCUUCACAGCAAGAUUGGCGACCGCUUCUCCAUCUGCAACCCGGCCACUCGUCAGUGUGCUCCACUCCCACAGCUUUCUGGUUUCAGGGUCUUGGGGAUGUACCCGCAUAGCCCAACCGGAGAGUACCGAAUACUGGCGACCGACUUCCAUGAGGCCUGCUACAUCUUCGCAUUGGACUCCACCCAUCCACCGAGGAGCAUCUGGUCGCUGCCGCCGGAGGCGGAGCGCAUUAUACAUUGGGUUGGUGUCCUGGUCCGUGGUAGGCUGCAUUGGGCCCUAGAAGACAGCAUGGUGAUGGUAUUCAACACCACAGCCGAGUCAUUCCAUCUGAUGCGUUCUCCUAGUACCGACGACUCUCUAGCGUUUGAGAUGGAUGGCAUGCUCGGGGUGCACAACUUUACUAGUGCAACCGAAAUAGUUAAUAUCUGGGUGUUGCGGGACUAUGAAAGCGAGGUCUGGACCUUCAAGUGCCAGAUUCAAUUGCCAUUGCCGGUUACUGACUUCAGUGUCCGGAGUCGUUAUGCCACAUCUUGUAGCGCGUGGGUCGUGCGUGGCAAUGGUGAGUUCCUCAUGCUGGUCAAAUUUGCCGAGUGCCUACUUCAGGUUGACAUGGAUGGCAAGUUAGUGGCCACUUUCCAUCACCAAGAUGUCUGGCCUACACUAUUUCACCUCAAACAAUCUCUUGUUCCACAUGCCUUCUUUCCAACACUAGAGGGCUAUGUUGUGAAUGAUGUGCCUUUUAUCUGA